Molecule: ribosomal RNA, 444 nt
Filed under: uncultured bacterium
Lineage: Bacteria
Description: SSU rRNA
Rfam family: Bacterial small subunit ribosomal RNA
Source: RNAcentral
AGAACGAACGCUGGCGGCAGGCUUAACACAUGCAAGUCGAACGCCCCGCAAGGGGAGUGGCAGACGGGUGAGUAACGCGUGGGAAUCUACCCAGUUCUACGGAAUAACACAGGGAAACUUGUGCUAAUACCGUAUACGCCCUACGGGGGAAAGAUUUAUCGGGAUUGGAUGAGCCCGCGUAAGAUUAGCUAGUUGGUGGGGUAAUGGCCUACCAAGGCGACGAUCUUUAGCUGGUCUGAGAGGAUGAUCAGCCACACUGGGACUGAGACACGGCCCCAGACUCCUACGGGAGGCAGCAGUGGGGAAUAUUGGACAAUGGGCGCAAGCCUGAUCCAGCCAUGCCGCGUGAGUGAUGAAGGCCUUAGGGUUGUAAAGCUCUUUCAGUGGGGAAGAUAAUGACGGUACCCACAGAAGAAGCCCCGGCUAACUUCGCGCCAGCAGCCG